GCGCGACAGCUUCCACCCGCCUUAGGCAGUAUCAGCCGCGCCGCAGUCGGAGGAAACAGACGCGGGGCCUGAGGCUCCUGGACUUGAGAGGCUGCAGAAAAGGCCCAGGAGGCUGUUGAUGACAUGAACGACCACCAGGAGAAGCUGGAGCAGGCUGAUGCACAGAAGGGCGGAGAAGAGGGACACGUGCCAGACAACAGCUGCAGAGGGCUCCAGGCAGAUGGAGUUCCAGAGCGAACGGUCAUACAGAUAAUUCCUGUCCCAAAAAAUAAGGAGACCAGGGGUCAGGCGAUAAGUAAGGAAAGCCAAACAGGCAACCCCAGUAGAAAACUGGGGUCUCCCCUGACCGGGUCAUGGGACUGGGCUCAUGAGGGUGACCGUUACUGCUCCAUUUGCAAUUUUCUGAGUAUCAGAGGAGCAAGAUGCUAGGAUGUGUGACCCAAAGGAGCUUGCAGUUCGUCUGUGUGUCUUUUUGUCUCUCUCUCUGUCUGAAAAGACCAAGCCCAAGCCUCCACCCAUUUACCUACUAUGCAGGUCUUUGAAUGGGUAACCAUAUUUCCAAGCUUGUGUCUGAUUGAAGGAUGAAACAUCAAACAUGCAAAAAGGACCAUCUUUCAGAGCAACUCCAGAAGUGACAAAGCAAAUCAGGGCUCCAAGUAAAGCCAGGCCACCUGACAACAGAGCAGUAAGCACCUGCGGAGGGAGGAGAAACGCUGAGCUAAGACGGGGUCGCGGCUGGGGAGUCUGUGGGGCGGUCUGCACAGGUCUGACUUCUCUGGUCUCGGUGUUCUUCCGUCCUGUCAUGGGGGAGAAUUCUGUCCAUGGCACCCCCUUUGAAGCAUAACCCAUGUUGGGGAGGCCGUGAGGGGUUUCUAGGAGAGAAAGGACCAAGAAGCAGAAUCGCAGGCCCCGGAUCUCCCUGACUCCGCCUGAGCUGCUCAGCAGCUUGGCAUCACAAACCUUUUGCACAUUACAGCCAUUCAGCCUCUGAGCUAAAGAGGAAGCUACCACAGGCCCACCACUGACUCUUCUAAGGAAAAGCUGCAUUUUCAAAAGUUCCAGGUUCCCAACUCUGAUUCUUCUCUAUUUCAAAUCAAGGAUAAAAAAAAGGAAGGGAGGGAAGGAAGGAAAGAAAGAAGCAGGAAAGAAGGGAAGGAGAGAAGUGGGAGGGAGGGAAAGAAGGGAGAGAAACAGCGAGAGAGAAGCUGCAGCCAAGCUCUGAAAUGACUCCACUUCUGUCGCUGUGUUUCUCCAGCUGAGAGCUUUCUUGGCCAUCAGUCUGUGCUCCCACUGCCCUCCCAGAAAAUAACUGGGUUUCCUUCCUUGACAGGUUUCUAGCCUGCUUCUACAUUGGCUUCUUUCUCGUUCCUUCCUUCCUUCCCUUCCUUCCUUCUUUCUCUCUCUUUCUUUUUGAGACAGAGUCUCACUCUGUCGCCCAGGCUGGAGUACAGUGGCGCGAUCUCAGCUCACUGCAACCUCUGCCUCUGAGUUCAAGCGAUUCUCCUGCCUCAGCCUCCCAAGUAGCUGGGACUACAAGCGUGCGCCACCACACCCAGCUAAUUUUUGUAUUUUUAGUAGAAAUGGGGUUUCACUGGGUUGGUCAUGCCAGUCUCAAUCUCCUGACCUUGUGAUCCACCUGCUUCAGCCUCCCAAAGUGCUGGGAUUACAGGCAUGAGCCACCGUGCCCGGCCCAUAUUGGAUUCUUUCUUAGGGUUCUAGAUUUUUUUUCUCCCUCCCCCAAAAAUGCCUAUUUUAAAAAUGUG
This 1763-nucleotide non-coding RNA is filed under the name Pan troglodytes (chimpanzee). The record is from RNAcentral. Lineage: Eukaryota; Metazoa; Chordata; Mammalia; Primates; Hominidae.